UCUUUCUUUUUGUAUUUCUAGCAGUGGCAAAAAUAUUGGCACUAUCCCCCAGUGCCCAGAAACCAUGUCACUGCAAAUGGUAAAUGAAGUUUAGUCCUAAGGUGUGAUUCCAACGCCCUGAGUCACUCACCAAAGUGAGUGAGGCUGAAAUUCCCUCAUGUUAUAUCUCUGCUGUAAGUUAUGGUAUUGUCUCUUUGCUACAGAAGUUUUGAUUUUAUUCUCUAACACUACUUCCUUCUUGUUUUAAGGUUUGUUGUCCUUCUAGUUGUGUGAAUUUUCAGCCCACCCAACACUCUUCUGAGGUACCUGUUACUUGCAGCUUUUGCUUCAGCAUCCUAGAAGUUCAAGAGUCUUCUUGACUUCUAUAUUACGGGAGUUACUGCACUCAGAUAAACUGCAAUUCUAAAUAAUAAUCAGAUGCUUGAAAGAAUAUUUCAGCUGACAUCCCUCUGUGUUGUUAUUUUGUUUUACUAUUUCUAAAUAUUCUGUUAGGUUUCAGCUCCUAUAAACUAUUUAGAAGCAUCCUCCAGACUAGACUUUUGUCCAUAUUUAAAAAAAGAUAGUUUGCAUGGGUUGCAUGAGGUCAUGGGAUCACUGCUUUUGGGAUGAAGACUCCCUGAAGACUUAAGUGAGGCAGAGAACCUGACAGACUCACAAGGGCUAAAGGUAUUCAAAUUGUUAUGAUCUAACUCAUAACUGUCCUAAGAAGGAGUUAAGUAUAACAAAGAGGUGGGAAUUUCCAGGCCUGAGUUCUGCACCAGAGUUUUUAGAAUCAUCAUAAAUGCUUGUUUUUCCCAAAACACAAACACCCUUCUGACCUCUCUGAUCUUCUGACAUAAACUAAGAAACUUUUCAUGAUAAUCAGUCAAGUAUCAGUUCUAAAAAGCCAUUGCUGUGCAUUAUAGGCACUUAUGCACAUAAGAAAACAAAACAAAACAAGCGGCCUACCACUUUCCAGGAUUAAUGCUAUGAAGGAUUUUAUGGGUGGUCCAUAAGUGGACAGAAUGUUGCACUAAUGUGUGACUGCAUGGCAAUUAAGCUUAAUUAGGGAAGGUUUUGAAAAAGACAAUUAUGGGAAAGUAAAUUAUGGGAAUGAAAACAACUGUGCUUUUGGAGACCACACUCUGCCGCACUGGUUCAGCAAAGAGUUGCUAAAAAUGUUCCUGUUCUGUCAGGUUCUGACGCACAUCCAGCACUUUGUCAAACUGAGCGUUUUUCUUGAGAAGGGGGAAUCUCUUAGGAGCACAUUCUUCACACAGUCUCUGCUGAAUUCACUGGUUUCAUGAGCAGACAGCUGCAGUUCCAGAGUAAGAGCAGCAGCAGAUGACCCUGAAUCCAUGGCCAUCCGGUUUAGUUCAGCAUUGCCUCUUUUCUGCGUGGAGUAACAAAGUUACGAAGUUUAUUCGUAUGUGAAAGGUGUGACAAGGACGCUUCUCUCCACUGAAGGAUAUUGAAGUAAGUGUUGACAGAAACAUCACACAUAAAAGAGUGUUAAAAUGAAAACAGAGACAAGAGGAUGCUAAAUAGAGAAAAGAAGCAGGAUCUGGGAUUUGAUGGCUGACCAUGAACAGCUGUGCACAGGUAAUCCAGAUACAUGUCCUAAUACCUAAACUCCCCAGUUUAGGUGUAUAUUUACCUGAACUACUCAGAUAAAAAUUUGCAAAUGAGGUAUAUGUCCAAAAAUCACAAUCUUCUUCAGGCCAAAUGUUGUGGAAAUAUGUCAAAUUAAAAAUUAUAUUCCUAGAAAGGAUGCUUCAACACAACCCCUAGAUGGGAUCUAAUAUUUAGCAAAGUGCUGUAUCUGAAGAGAGAUCCCCUUAGCUGCAGAACCUUACAGGUCCCCUACUUGCUUCUGUCUCUGUAGCUGGAAAGUGAAGGCAAUCCUAAAGAGUUGCUGGCAUGUGGGGUAAUGAGAAAUUCCAGGGUCUGGAGGGAUCUGUGGCGACAACACUUGUGAGAGAAACUGGCACAAUCUCCUUGGCAGAGUUGUACCCAGCUCCCGUAGACUCACUUUUUGGUGGUGGUGAUCAGAUUUUGGUGGAAGUCUGAUGCAGUUGUGAAGCAGCAGGUGAACAAACCAUUUCUUCACAAAAAGUCUAAACCCAGCAUUUAUUACUUCCUCUUAGGUCACAGAAACAUCACUUGCCUUUCAGUUUGAAAAUAACCACGCCCUUUUCAUCCUCAUCUGCCUAAAACACUCUGUUCUACAUCUCUUUUGCACAUGCUGUAAAUCCCCUCCUCCAGCAGUAUUUCUGCUGUGUUCCUGCUGGCACCAUCUGCAGCAGCCAGACCUCUGGACAUUCCUGGGACAGACUCAGAGGGAAUUUUCUGAUUCAAAUUAGUAAGGGCAAAGGUCGGUAUUGCUUAGUUAAUAACAAGAAAAAUUCACCUGGAUUAGUACUGGCUCCUUAAUAGGAACCAACAGAGCAUCAAGAUUUGGCCUUCUAUGAUUUGGAUAGUUUCUAAAUGAUAUUUUUAUGUCAGAAUGAUGCCAUUUUGCUUGUUGGAAGACUAGGGAAAAGCAAAUUUUUACAGUUUGAGGAGAGCUGCAACAGCAGCUGGAGUUAUUCUGCCUCCUCUUUCCCCACAUUGCAAGCUUUCACAAAGCUUUAAAUCCAGAGAAAGUGAGCUGCCAAAGAAAAUACACUAGCAAAGUGGAUGAGACCAUUAUUCCCAGUUUUCUAGGAGAUAUGUUUCAGUCUGUGAGUUCUGUAUUUCUGCAAAAAUGUUUAAUAUUUAGAGGUGAAGGAACUCAAGUUUGCUGGUAUUUUUGAAAUAUUUUCUAACCUGCUCUUUUUCUUUUUCUUCCCACCUCCUUCCCUUUUUUGUGGCUUUCCAAUGUAAGUGGCCACAGCAAACCCCAGUUCAGGAUCCAGGAGGAAUCCUCCACUGCCAGCCUUAGGAGAACCUAGGUGACAGCCGCCGAAACGCCUUGAUCACACAGUCCCAGCACCCUGCCCUGCCAGCAGCAGAGGGAAAGUCCAGUUUCUGUUAAUAAGGUGCAGAGAGUGGCCAAAAUAUUUUGUGAAUUUUCUGGCUGAAAAGGGUAAUGAAGCUACCUCUGUCUCAGUGCACUGGCACAGGAGCAAACUAAACAACUGGGAAACAUGUUUCAGAGGAGAAAUACAGAGCACAUAUGUCUUGGAUUUCACACUUCCACUGGAGGCUGAGCUUUGCCUCUUUCUACCUCUUUUCCAGGCUGGCUGAACUCUUUUGCACAAAAAGUGAGCGAGAUGGGGGAGGGUGAGCAAGCUUUUCUGCAGAUUAGCUUCAGGCAGCUCUUGCCAGACCAAAAGUUACAUUGGAAAGCAUUUCUUACCAAAACAAUUAAUUUUUUAAUAUGUAAAGUAAAACCGGGAAGUUAUUCCCACAAAUUUGGUUUAAAAUCUACCUUUCUAUUAGCUUUGAGCAAAAGAAACCACACUGCUGAGAGCACAGUCAGAUUCUUUGGGCUCUCUUCAAAAAGCUCGCUCUUUUUGUCAUUCCUCUCUGACCUCCUCCCUGCUAGUCCCGGGAUGAAAAGCAAGCCAAAGAUCUGCUGAGAAAUGGGCCGAGCCACUGCUGACCUUUGCAAAUCCAAUUUCUUCAAAGCGAGAGCUAAUCGACGUGUUCCCACGCUAUGUAUUGCUGAAACUUACGAUGCAAUUCAAGGAAUGAAUUCACCAUGGUGCAAUCUCAUUUUGAAUCCAGUUUUCUUGUUAUGUGUCAGAGGGUGAAGGAGGCAGAGUGUGGUACAAGUUAUAGAGAGCAGUCACAACUAAGAUUCACAUACUAUGUAAGUCUGUCUUUGAAAGAUUUUGCACUUUGGAUGGGCUCUUUCACUUAAAAUCUAAAAUACAUUGGCGUUCCCCCCCCCCACCUUCUACCUUCCUCCCCCUCAAAAACAGAGAGACAUUUCGCAGUUAUUUAAAACAAAAAUAAGCUAAUACUAGUUUGCACUGAACAAUCUCCAAACAGAAAAAAAAAUAGGCUCUGAGGGUACUGUCUGAUAUGUAACUGAUGUGCCUUUUGGAGAGAUUUGUGUGCACAGGAGCUGUAGGUGAAUGAGAUUUUGCUACAGAGAAAGCUUUAAAAUUCAUAUUCAAAAUUCAUAUUCUCUCACUUUGCAUAUCUGAUCUGGUAUAAGCACUAUUCUGAUUUUACACCAGCCAGAGUGGUCCUCUCUGUGUGAAGUUUUGCAAUCUCUGCUAGGUACCGCAGCUGUACCGGCAGGAUCCGUGCAGGAAAAGCACUUUGGCAUUCCCAACCUAAAUCUUAUAAUCUGGUUCUAACAGGUGCCUGGAGAAUGGCCCCCUCCCUGUUUCCCAGAAGGUGCUGCCAUUUGUUUCCCACUCCACUGGCCAAGCCUUGGCUGAGCACAGCCCUGGGCAGCCCCUUGACCCAGCAGGGCAGCGGCAGCGCUCCACAUCCUGCUGGCAUGCUCCGAGCGCGGCGGGUUUGCGCAACGCUGCAACUUCUUGUCUGGGGCAAAAGGGACACAAGAGGACUCUGGUUCCUCGUUUAACUACUGUGGGGCAUAUGCCAUGGGUAGCAAAUCCCAAAGAGAUGCUUUCAGCAGCCAAAGAGAGCAGUUAUGUCAUUGCCAGCAGGGGUUGGGCUUGGUGUGCCUCCCUCGGGAUGUCAUCUCUCCUGCUGGGAAGUCCUGGCAUGGCAGGUAGCAGCCAAGCUGCUCCACUUUUGGUGCUUGACCACAGACCUCCCAGACUGUGGGGUUCUUGGCCAGUUUGGCCAUAUAGUAGAACCAGAGAUAUCGUCAUUUAUUUUUUUAGCUCAUUGCCACCUUCAUUGCACAAGUGUCAUUCCACCAUGGCUGAUGUAAUGGUGAGUCAAGUCCUUGGGCUAACGGACUGAACUAUGCCUUGGCUGUAGCCUGCAGACUUCCAGAGGAACCAUCAAAGUUCUCAUUUUGUAUUUGUCCCUAGGAAAGCAAAUGAAAAUAUAUAAUUGUUCUCAAGAUUGCUGAAAGAAGCAAGCCCUUUUUUAAAAUUUUAUUUCUGCGGCCAUGAAUAGUAAAUUUCCCUAUUCAUGACUGGUUUAUAAAAGAGUUUGCGAACUAACCAGAUCUGAAGAACUUUCUUUCUCAGCAAGUAUUGCAGUAAGAGAAUUGUUUCUGGUUUUUAUUACUUUCUCAAUAUUUUUGUUAUCCUCUUUUCCCAGACACGAUUGGAUUUUCCAGUCUUCUGGACAUCAAAGAUUUUGGAGAAGAGAUUGUAUAAACUGGACAGGUUUGAUCUACUUGCUUUUGCAUUUGCAUGUUGUGUUCUUAAGCACCUACCCUCGGGUUUUUCAAGCUUCGGCAAGGGAGAGCACUUUCAAUAUAUAUCAUCACAGCUCUGCUCCACACUGAGGUAUGGAAACCAUCUUGCACAACAUUACACAGACAUAAGAAGGCACCCCAUACUUGAGAAAGGACUGGAGUGGGAAAAACAAGUGUGAUGUUAAGAGCAAAGCACAGCAGAAAAUACUUUAGGAGGAUCUAUAAAAAGUUCAAAUUGGUAAAGCAUGUAUGUGGGUGGGUUAGAAAGAAUAAAGCAUAAUUAAGUUACUGAAGCCUCAGCAGGACUCUGAAUAUUGUUCAGCGUGCAUUGCAGUUCACUUUAAAGAAAUGUCAAGAAUUGCCACAACCUUAGAAUGGGGACUUUUUUGUAGCGUAGCAUUAAUUUCACCAAAUACAUGAAGGCUGCCCUUUCUUGGGCUUUGCGUCAUUGUGCUGCAGGGUACUGGGUGUAUUACAGGAACACCUGAAGGCAAACGUCCCACCCUCUGCAAGCUGGUGACAGAGCAGGGCUGUCCAUAUUAGGCACGGCUGAAAGUCAGAGGAAACUUUGCCAUCCUGCAUGACAAAGGGUGCUGGGUCCCAUCUUCUCCCCGCUGUGGGUAUGGCCCCAUUGGGGUGUCCCUGCCUGCACACUAAUACCAGGAGAAGGGCGGAUGGAUGAGAGGAGGUAGCUUUGCCCUCUCUCCCUCUGAAGUAUCAGGGAACAGAGAAAAGCGUGGCAAUCAGAGAAAAGUCUCCUUGCAGCUACUGAAUAGCGUUUCUAAUUGCUCUGUGAUGUGAACAGCUUAGGUCCGAUGCCCUUGUGCCAUGAGUGACCCAGACACUGCCCUCCUGUGCUCCUCACCAGCCCCUGCUUCCCCCUCAGUGACCACCACAGCAAGACCCAGGCCUGUACUUCUUUACAAAAGCCUGUGUUGUGCCUGAGGCUCACGGAAGAAAACACCACCGUGAGCUUCAUAAAGCAUUUUAUAGGAUGACAGUGCUUCUGCCAUCCUGGAGCAGAUCCAAUCUGGGCCCAGCCAUGUGAGCAGCCUGAUGCACACAGUGCAGGACAGGUGGGUCUCAAAACUGAAAUCAGAUAGGGAAUUUGGCCCCCAGCUCAAUAGGCAGCCUUUCAUUUAAUACUCCUUCUCACAGUUCCCAAAGCCCAAGGUCUCUGGGAGAUGGUUCUGCCCCUCGUCCAGGCCCAUGUCCUGCCCAAAACACCCUUGCAGGAACACUCAGGAGGCUCUGUCAUGAUGGGGGACUCCUGCACCGGCAGAUUAGAGCAACAGUGUGGCUGGGAAGGUCAUGUACAGCAGCUAUACUUGUGAAAUCAUGAAGAGUAAUGAGGAUUUUAGUUGUUAUUUUGCUCAUAAAUACACAUUCUAAUGUGCAGAAAACACACAGCGUUGAAUGAAAAUAUUCUGAUCUUCAGGGAAAAAAAAAAUAUUAGCCAGAAGUGUCAUGCCUUUCCAUAUGUUCCACUUAAAAAAAAAAAAAAAGACCUUUUUUAAAAUUGCUGCCAGCCAACAUUUCAGAAAUAUUUCCUUUGUGUUUCUGUUCAAAGUGAUUUAUGUCCAAGUAGUCUCUAGCUGGUUCUCAAAUUGCAGUAAUGAUUUUUAUUGUUUGUUUAUAGUUUUAUCUGAACAUUUCUGCCUGCCAUGUCAUCUGUUCUGCCCAGAAUAAGUGUCAUUUAUAGGCAACUGCUGUGCCCAUGUAGAGUCCAUUGUUCUGUCUUGUUUCUGACUGUUCACAUACAUUGGAUUUAAGUUUU
Non-coding RNA from Taeniopygia guttata (zebra finch), 7034 nucleotides. Lineage: Eukaryota; Metazoa; Chordata; Aves; Passeriformes; Estrildidae. The record is from RefSeq and is a predicted model, not a curated record.